Long non-coding RNA from Notolabrus celidotus (New Zealand spotty), 311 nucleotides. RefSeq lists it as uncharacterized. Lineage: Eukaryota; Metazoa; Chordata; Actinopteri; Labriformes; Labridae. The record is from RefSeq and is a predicted model, not a curated record. The transcript has 3 exons.
CACAGAUGGUGAGUAGCUGAUUAGAGUAAUCCGGGUUGAAGAAUCGGGCAUCCCGGAUGUGUGGAUGAGGACUGUGGGGGGAAACCUGUUGCUUUGUUAAAAAUCCUCUUAGAAGUCAGGUCAUGUGACCUCCCUGUGGGCUGCAGGAUGUGCAUGGAUGGUCAUUCACAAGCUGGAUGGAGGCGAUCACACUGCAGCCUAGAAAAAACACAGCACGCUAGACCAAAAUCUGGCCUCGACACCAGCCAUGCCCCUCCACAGUCUCACCGUGAAGGAGGCGUGGCCUCAGGACAGGAGCCAAGAGGAUGAGG